Molecule: non-coding RNA, 73 nt
Organism: Nematostella vectensis (starlet sea anemone)
Lineage: Eukaryota; Metazoa; Cnidaria; Anthozoa; Actiniaria; Edwardsiidae
Source: Rfam
GCCUCUGUAGCUCAGUGGUUAGAGCACUGGUCUCGUAAACAAGGGGUCGAGAGUUUGAGUCUCUCUAGAGGCU